This 64-nucleotide transfer RNA is filed under the name Dipodomys ordii (Ord's kangaroo rat). It matches the Rfam family "tRNA". Rfam says of the family: Transfer RNA (tRNA) molecules are approximately 80 nucleotides in length. The record is from Rfam by way of RNAcentral. Lineage: Eukaryota; Metazoa; Chordata; Mammalia; Rodentia; Heteromyidae.
GGUGGCUCAGUGGUAGAGUGUUUGCCUAGAAUGCAUAAGGCCCUGGGUUAAUUCCCCAGCACCA